Molecule: long non-coding RNA, 6304 nt
Organism: Meriones unguiculatus (Mongolian gerbil)
Lineage: Eukaryota; Metazoa; Chordata; Mammalia; Rodentia; Muridae
Exons: 4
Source: RefSeq, a predicted model, not a curated record
GUUGUCAGGACAUCUAUGAUACCUUAGUGACACAAUUUAAGAAAAUUUAUUCUAAACCAAAUCUUGUUAUUUUUUAAAGGUUUUAUUAAUUUUUAUAUAUGUAUGUUUUGCCUGUAUGUACAGAUGCAUAUCACGUGCAUGCCUGGUAUCCAGGGAAGCCAGAAAGUAUUGGAUCCCCCGGAACUGGAGUUAGAGAUGGUUGCGAGCUGCCAUGUGAGUGCUGUGAACUGAGCACUUCUCAAGAGCAGUAAGUGCUCUUAACCACUGAGCCAUCUCCAGCCCAUCUUAUUAUUAGUAAUCAAAGCCUGUUUGAGAGGAAAAGAAAAAGUUCAAAUUGAUGCCAUUGUCUUGACUCCAGAUGUAUAGGAAUGAUUGAACUAUGAUGUAAAGCAGAAUCUUUAUGUUAAAAUCCAGUGAGCCGAGAAGUAGGAUGACAAAGAUGAAUGAGACCUUGCCUGGGAGAGGAUGGAAAGAUGUGGACAUGGUGCAUUUGAGGGUUAAUUCAGCUCUCCACAUACAGUGUACUGCCUGUAGUUGGAAGUAACUACUAAAGAGCAAGCUCAACAUUCGUGUUAGUGCUUUGUUCAAAUCAGUAUUGCAUGUGGGAAGGCAAGUUGAUAUUCUGUGGGUGCUGUGUAAAUUGUGGAAGCAAGCUACUUAUUUACAUUUCUCCAUUGAGAGUAGUGUGUAUUAAAUAAUCACUGGUGGCUUGGCAUCUGCAACUUACUGACCAGGUCCAUACUAAGCUUCAUAGAUUUCUGUUUUAAGAUGAUUUCUUUAGGGGAGGCAGAGGCAGAGGCAGGUGGAUCUCUAGACCAGCCUGCUCUCUAGAAUGAGCUCCAGGACAGCCAAGACUACACAAAGAAAACUUGUCUUAAAAGAAAAGAAAAAAAAGAUUAUUUCUUUAGUUUUUUUGGGGGCUUUUAAUGCAGUACCUUAGGUUUCUUGGCCAUCUUUACUUGAGUUUUGUUAUUGAAAUGUAGUUUUCCUCUCAGGCUGGCCCUUGUCCUGUAUAAUCCAUUCUCAACUUUUUCUAGCUACCAAACCCAUAUUUUUUAAAAAGUCAGCACACACACACACACUCACACACCUGUGCGUGGCUGGCCUGGACUAAUUGGAGGAUAGACUUGGUAGAGAAACCAACGGUGUGCAGUAGAUAACUAUCACCACCUACUCUACCCACUGUUUCUCUUUGUGCACUAUGUGCCUGGUGUCAGAGUAGGCCAGAAGAGGGUGUGCCCCUGGGUGGAUACCCGGUACUAGAGUUAGACUAUUUUGAGCUACCUUGCGGGUGCUAGGAAUCAAACCAGGGCCCUGUAGAAGAGCAGCCAGUGCUCUUAGCUGCUGAGCCAUCUCUCCAGCCCCACAGUUUCUUCUAAGCCUUUCCUAACUUCUCUGUACUACAUUCUCCUGUUCAUACUAAUUUCCUAUCUUCCAGAAGGCGGCCACCAAGUCAUGAUGCGGUUAACCUAGUCCUGAGAGACAUUUUCAAAGUUCAACAUGUUUGGGCCCACUGAUAGGAAAGUACUUAACAAAAAUGAGGUAGUUUGGCAGGUUAUGUCUUAUUUAAGGUCACUAUUGCUGUAAUAAAAUGACAUGGCCAAAAGCAAGUUGGGAAGGAAAAGAGUGUAUUUUGCUUAAACUUCCAUUUCAUUAUUUAUCAGGGAAAGAAGUGCAGGCAAGAGCUGAUACAGAAGACAUGGAGUGUUUGCUGGCUUGCACAACCUGUUUUCUUACAACACUGAUACCCAGCCCAGAGGUGGCACUUAUAAUGGACUGGGCCUUCUACAUCAAUCACCAAUAAAUAAAAUGCCCCAGGGGCCUGUGUGCCAAUACAGUCACUACCCUCCCUUCCUUUAUUUUUGUUUUUUUGAGACAUUGUUUCUCUGUGCAGCCCUGGCUGUCUUGGUAGUAUAUAGAAAAGGCUAGCCUCCCAAGUACUGGGAUUAAAGGUGUGUACCACCAUUCCUGGCUAGCCAGCCCAUUUUUCACGAAGGUACUUUUUUCUAUUAAGUUUCCUCCUCUGAGGUGACUCCAGUUUGUGUCAAAAGGGCAUAAAACUGGCCAGGACAGUGACUUUAGUAGUUGCCUUCCAAGGAGAUAACAAUGAAGGUGGACUGGAGCUCCUUAUCCCUGAGAUUGCUUAUGAAUCUGAGAACACAGUCGGAAUGGGGGCUUUAGAUUGAAUACACAAAACUGGAAUAAGAUGUUAAAAUGUAUGAGAUAGGCUGUUCUCACUCAGGUGGAGCUGGCAUGCAGGUGAAAGUGGGAGCCAAUGUGCAUUUAUACUGAAGAGGGUAGGAUAUAGUAAAAUUGAGGCUGGAGCAGAGCAGGAGGCCUCCAACCAUCUUCUUUGCACUGUUUUAGAUAGUUCCCAGCAAUGUGUUUCAAGACUAGGUAAGAGAAAGCAAGACUAGAUCCUAAAAUCCUUUAUCCCAAGAUUCCUCCCCCUGGGUGGGAUAGCCUAAUGUAACCAGUCUGUUAAAAAGAACUAUCCAAACUGACCCUCAGUAGCCAGCCCUUUCUUCCCUUAGACUCCAGGCAGUAACCUGGAGCUUUUAGGUACACAUAGCCACACUCACGUGAUCUGCUGUCAUUCUUUUUACGAAAUACAUUUUAAUUUCAUGCAUGCAUGCAAAUGUAUGACAUUUUGGUCAUAUUCAUUCACCCUAUGCUCCUCCCCCAGCUCUACUAUCCACAACUCUUGCUGUCAGGCUUGGUGUGUGUUCUAAUCUGUACUAUUGCUUGACUUUAAAAAAGUUUUUCCAGGGGGCUGGAGAGAUGGUUCAGAGGUUAAGAACACUGGCUGUUCUUCCAGAGGUCCCGAGUUCAAUUCCCAGCAACCACAUGGUGGCUCAUGACCGUCUAUAUUAAGAUCUGGUGCCCUCUUCUAGUGUGUAGGUAUACACGAAGAUAGGGUAUUCAUAUACAUAAAAAAAAAAAAAAGUUUUUCCCUUCUCAAUUUGUUUUUGCUUCAUUCUCGAAUAAGAUCAGGAACCUGGGAAUUCCCAGACUAGAUCCCGACCCCAGGACUGGGAUGUUGGGAUCUAGUCUGGGAAUGUUCUCUUGUGAGCUAGGUGUGUCUACCCGGUGUGUUCAGUGUUGGGUUUCAGCAUUUUAAAAAAUUAAAAAUCAUGCUUUCCCAAACUGUAAGUAGCUGAAGGUGAUGGCACACACCUUUAAUCUCAGCACUGGGGAGUCAGAUGCAGGCCUGGUCUACAUACUGAGUUUCAGGACUUCACUAAGAUGCUUGAUCUCAAAAUUAAAUAAAAUUCCAGGAAAUGCUUUACACCUGGUCAUCAUGAAUAAGAAUAUAUACAGUGUUAUCCAGAUGCACUCAACAGAUGAAUUUAGGAUUGGAGAGGAAAGUACCAAUUUCAUGGAAUGUGGUUUCUUUCAGGCUUUAUGUAUGAUACCUUGGUCAAGGGGGAUGUUAUGUCCAUGGUCCUCAGUGGUGAGGGCCAUGUGCAAAGACCGAGUUCUUUUCAUUGGGCAGUCUACCUUGCGAGACCCUUUCUGCGCUAGCCUCCAUGCUCACUCCCUCUGCUGCUUGGCAUACACUGAUGCCUGGACUGGUUUCUCUGUGGCUCUUGGUAGAGUGGAGCUGACUCUGAAACCCAGCAAAUUCCAUCUAGUCCAGCUGGGACCAGAACCUGUAGGAACCUUGCUGACCUAAGUUCUUUUACACUCCAAGGCAACCCCUGGCACUGUGAGUUCUCGGUGUCUUCUCUCCUCACAGAGAUCUGCCUGCCUCUGCCUCCUGAGUGCUGGAAUUAAAGGUGUAUACUGCUCAGCUUGAGAACUGCUUUGCAUCUGCCUUGUUGAGCUAACCUGUUGACAGAUGAAAAGAUGAAGAAGGGACCAUGCACAACACCAGCCAUGCCCACAGUUCCUCGGUGGACUUGGUCUCCUCAGCCAAUUCUCACAGAGCGUAGCUCAUGGCUAUGAGACUUCCAGGACUGCCCUCCUUACUGCCACCACCAGUCUCGACUUGCUUUGGCAAAACAACUCCAAUUUUAUCCUGAAGAAAUAUAUGCUGAACCCAGGAUGACUUCUUUUUCUUACAGUUGGGUUCCUGAAGAUUCUGAAAGGUGGGCCUUUCAUCUCGUACAGAUAAGAGCCCAAUGAAGUUGAUAUGCUGGAUAUGGAAAACACUGACAAGGCUCCUGAGCAGCGCUGGGAUUAUGGGUCUAUGCUACCAUGCCCAACAGGAUACUUUGCUAAAAAUGGUAAUACUGUUUUGUUUCUUUGAGACAGUGUUUUCUCUGUUUAUAUCCCUUGCUCUUCUGGAACUCACUCUGUAGACCAGGCUGGCCUCAACAUAGGUUUGCCUCUGCCUCCUCAGUGCUAGAAUUAAAGCCGCUGCCUGGUGGUAACACACUGAGUAAGAUCCUGCUUUCUUUAACUCUAUACUUAUAAGCUGGGAAGGAGAAUCCCCUGAGUUCAUAGCUAGCUUGGGCUACAGAGUAAGCUACUGCCUCACAAGACAGACUAUAUUUGCCUGGCUUCUAGGGUCCCAGCUUUACAGUGACACCAUUUGCAAGAAUGAUUAUUUCACAAAUUGGCUUUUCUUAAGAAAAACUAUAGUUGUGGAUGAUGGGUCAUACCUGUAAUCUUAAAAAGUUCAAAGCCAGACUAGGUUACAGUGAGACUCUAUCCCACCCUCCCCCAGCAAACCCUGAAAUGUACUAAUAUUUCUGCCUCCUGAGCACUGGGAUUAGAGGUGUAUAUACCACACCUGCUUUUGCUUACUGUUUUUGAAGGUUUUAAAUUAUCUACUUGUACCACAUCCUAAAUUCUUUGUGUUAAGUCUCACAAAAACAGUAAAAACAACAAUAAAGGUCUAAGUUAGACAACAUGAGGAAAACUUAGAGGGUCAAGUCUCAAGUCAACUUGUAUGUAAUAACAAAACGUUCACUAAAACAGUAAGAUGCCAGACUCAUGACAGAACUUGUAUCUGGGGAGCAAUUUUGGCAACAUCCACAAUACACUUUCAAUAUUUUCUUAAUUUCAAUGUGGUUGGGGAUGCAAAAUGUAAAAUAGUAAAUAAAGGUGCUUCUGCUGAUAACAAGAUCAACUGUGUCAGAGAACCUUCUAUCGGGUGAAGCUGUGAGUGAUCCUACAUAUGCAAACACUGCUAGCUAACAGAAUGUCCAAAUGCAUGGAACUCACUGAAGAGCUGCCUGGAGUCUGUCCCACAGCUUUACCUUCACACCAACACUCAAGGUCUGUACCUUCUUGUUGCAGAACCACCAACAGAAGGCACAUUUUACAGGUGCCUAACCCUUAUCAUGUACCUAUAGGUAAGAACCUAACUGAAACCAAGAAAAACAGCACAUUCACAUACAUAUGACACCUGUAGAAACAUUUUAGAAUACCUACAAAGUGGGAGAUUAUUAGUUCAAGGUUAGCCUCAGAUACAGUGAGUUAACAAAAUACAAAGGCAAAAGACCUUCACCGUGAUAUAAGCUUGCCUACCAUACACAAAAACUGUGACACAGCGAUGAAGGAAACCGAGAGCCACUGCAUGUUUAUGGAUUAUGAAAAUCAGUAUUAUCAAAAGCCCAUUGUAGAGGCUGGAGAGAUGGCUCAGAGGUUAAGAAUACUCGCUGUUCUUCCAAAGGUCCUGAGUUCAAUUCCUCACAACCACAUGGUAGCUCAUAACCAUCUAUAGUAAGAUCUGGUGUGCAGGCAGAAUGUUGUAUAAAUAAUAAAUAAAUCUUAAAACAAAAACGCCCAUUGUAGCAUUCACCUUUAAAGCCAGCACCUGGGAAACAGACUGAACCCUGCGCUCAAGAUCAGGCUGGGCUAACGGGAGACCCUGCUGCAAAAGCUCACCAAGUCCACACUGCCCAAAACAAUCUAACUGACCAUACACUAGGUAUCUCAGAAAGCUAGAAGGGAUCUCAAGUGCUUUUCACAUAAACCAACAACAGUGAGAUGCUUACCUUAAACAAUUUAUACGUAGCAUAAGAAUGCUGUGGGGAGCUAGGCAUGGUGGUACACACCUAUAAUCCCAGCAGGAACAUCAGGAGCUGAAGGCAAGCCCUGGCUGUACAGGGAGUUUAAGACCUUCCUGGGCUACAUAAGAGCCCAACCAAGUCUCACAACAAGUCACAUGGCUAUUUCACUUCCAUAAAGUACAAUUUCUACAUGUUAUGUAUAUUGUUAAUGCCAUAUUAACAAAGGGGGAAACGUACAGCCUUUUGUAAUAUCCAGGAACACGGCUAAUGAAAAGUUGCCCACCCUACGUGCACUGACUCCAAACUAUAUCUCAUGACGUCAAUAUGGUUGUGUCCUACCU